UACGUAGGUGGCAAGCGUUGUUCGGAAUUACUGGGCGUAAAGCGCACGUAGGCGGCUUUGUAAGUUAGAGGUGAAAGCCCGGAGCUCAACUCCGGAACUGCCUUUAAGACUGCAUCGCUUGAACGUCGGAGAGGUAAGUGGAAUUCCGAGUGUAGAGGUGAAAUUCGUAGAUAUUCGGAAGAACACCAGUGGCGAAGGCGACUUACUGGACGACUGUUGACGCUGAGGUGCGAAAGCGUGGGGAGCAAACAGG
This 253-nucleotide ribosomal RNA is filed under the name uncultured bacterium. RNAcentral's name for it is "partial 16S ribosomal RNA". It matches the Rfam family "Bacterial small subunit ribosomal RNA", at positions 524 to 776 of the family's 1533-position model. The record is from RNAcentral.